GUUUUCCAGCCUGUCAAGAAGUAUGUUAUGAGUAUGGAUAUGAUGAAUGAACAAUGACAUUAUUUAUUAAAGGGCUCCAACAACAGUUUAUCAGUUUUGCCAUCAUUACAGCUGCGGCGUGGACUUCCAGAAUUAGAGUGAUGGAGCUCUUGGAGUUAACAAGCCUUUAAAGAUUCAGUGACCCUCAGGGGGUCUGGUGCUUUUGGCCCGUUGGUAUUUUGCAUGCGAAUUUGUUACUUGGCCGUUCUUGGACGCGGGGAGGAUAACUGACCAGGGGACAGAGGUUUGUCCGCACCAUCGAGCUCCACUCCUUGGGGUCGACAGAUGAAAACUGAUAGUUGGUCGUUAUUUAAUCACCUCUUGGCGGAGGGCAGAGGUCACCAAAGGAAAAAAGCAUACCAGUGUCGGCCCAGUACACUUUAUUCCCUUCAUCCGUCAAGAGCAGUGAAGUCGGCCGGACUGAACUAUUCCACACCACUGUCCUGUUCUGUCCAUUCAUAUAGGCACACUCCACCCUGGUCACCUGACCUCCCUGGACCUUGUUUGAAAAGCAGAGGCGCCCACUGGGUGGGUCCAAAGCAAUGGACUCAAUGACACCAACACCGUUCUGUAUCAACACACUGGUGUGUGUGCCGUCUGGUGAGGUGACCUGCAGGCCGGGCAUCUUCUCGCUGCUCCAGUACACAUUCAGGGUGAUCCAGUCCACGGCAAACACACGCAGUGAGUCUUUAUGUAGCUGGAGAAGUUUCCCACGAGGCACCAGCGUGUUGUCCUUCAUCUUGAAGAGCCUCACGACGGGCUGACCACCAUCAGACACGUACAGGGUAUGAAGGGCAACACCUGUGUGACUGCAGCAGGAGAAAGAAACAGCAGGAAAGAUGAGUCUCUGGGUUUGGAGCAGGUGAGUCCAU
Molecule: non-coding RNA, 911 nt
Organism: Pimephales promelas (fathead minnow)
Lineage: Eukaryota; Metazoa; Chordata; Actinopteri; Cypriniformes; Leuciscidae
Source: RefSeq, a predicted model, not a curated record